UACUUGAAUAGUGUUUAUAAA
RNAcentral lists this non-coding RNA (21 nucleotides) under Caenorhabditis elegans. Lineage: Eukaryota; Metazoa; Nematoda; Chromadorea; Rhabditida; Rhabditidae. The record is from RNAcentral.